This is a long non-coding RNA of Lycium barbarum (goji berry), 361 nucleotides long. RefSeq lists it as uncharacterized. NCBI's taxonomy places the organism in Eukaryota, Viridiplantae, Streptophyta, Magnoliopsida, Solanales, Solanaceae. The record is from RefSeq and is a predicted model, not a curated record. The transcript is spliced from 3 exons.
AAAAAAGUUCCGUGCGUUUCCAGCAAAAAGGAGGGGGCAACUUCCCUGACACAGACACUGUCCGUUUGGAAGCACUUCGGAAGGAAAAAGCGUUGGUGUGAGAGUUCGUGGCACCUGUUCGGCAUUGAGAGUACGAUCCAGGUUCCAGUUCUACACCCCGUGGCUGAUACGCGAGGGUGACAUCUUUCAGUCAUUCAGGGUGAGCUACUUGGUCAUCCGUGGCCCCUGAAGGACCUCCUCUAUUUAUUUCUGUUUUUCUAUUCGACAGACAAUAUGUAGCCUUCGGGUAUUUUCAGACUUAUAUUCCGUACUAUGUUAGCGCUCUUGUACCUUUUGACCAGAUUUUGGGGUCGUCAUGACA